Molecule: transfer RNA, 73 nt
Filed under: Stegodyphus mimosarum
Lineage: Eukaryota; Metazoa; Arthropoda; Arachnida; Araneae; Eresidae
Rfam family: tRNA
About the family: Transfer RNA (tRNA) molecules are approximately 80 nucleotides in length. Their secondary structure includes four short double-helical elements and three loops (D, anti-codon, and T loops). Further hydrogen bonds mediate the characteristic L-shaped molecular structure. tRNAs have two regions of fundamental functional importance: the anti-codon, which is responsible for specific mRNA codon recognition, and the 3' end, to which the tRNAs corresponding amino acid is attached (by aminoacyl-tRNA synthetases). tRNAs cope with the degeneracy of the genetic code in two manners: having more than one tRNA (with a specific anti-codon) for a particular amino acid; and 'wobble' base-pairing, i.e. permitting non-standard base-pairing at the 3rd anti-codon position.
Source: Rfam by way of RNAcentral
GCCUUCGUGGUGUAAUGGUCAGCACGCUGGGCGCGUAUUUUAGAGGUCCGUAGUUCGAAUCCCGGCGAAGGCG